UUUUAGGGGUUUUUCAACGUCAGGACGAACGCUGGCGGCGUGCCUAAUACAUGCAAGUCGUACGCUUCUUUUUCCACCGGAGCUUGCUCCACCGGAAAAAGAGGAGUGGCGAACGGGUGAGUAACACGUGGGUAACCUGCCCAUCAGAAGGGGAUAACACUUGGAAACAGGUGCUAAUACCGUAUAACAAUCGAAACCGCAUGGUUUUGAUUUGAAAGGCGCUUUCGGGUGUCGCUGAUGGAUGGACCCGCGGUGCAUUAGCUAGUUGGUGAGGUAACGGCUCACCAAGGCCACGAUGCAUAGCCGACCUGAGAGGGUGAUCGGCCACAUUGGGACUGAGACACGGCCCAAACUCCUACGGGAGGCAGCAGUAGGGAAUCUUCGGCAAUGGACGAAAGUCUGACCGAGCAACGCCGCGUGAGUGAAGAAGGUUUUCGGAUCGUAAAACUCUGUUGUUAGAGAAGAACAAGGAUGAGAGUAACUGUUCAUCCCUUGACGGUAUCUAACCAGAAAGCCACGGCUAACUACGUGCCAGCAGCCGCGGUAAUACGUAGGUGGCAAGCGUUGUCCGGAUUUAUUGGGCGUAAAGCGAGCGCAGGCGGUUUCUUAAGUCUGAUGUGAAAGCCCCCGGCUCAACCGGGGAGGGUCAUUGGAAACUGGGAGACUUGAGUGCAGAAGAGGAGAGUGGAAUUCCAUGUGUAGCGGUGAAAUGCGUAGAUAUAUGGAGGAACACCAGUGGCGAAGGCGGCUCUCUGGUCUGUAACUGACGCUGAGGCUCGA
This 780-nucleotide ribosomal RNA is filed under the name Enterococcus faecium. RNAcentral describes it as "bacterial SSU rRNA". It matches the Rfam family "Bacterial small subunit ribosomal RNA", at positions 1 to 756 of the family's 1533-position model. Lineage: Bacteria; Bacillati; Bacillota; Bacilli; Lactobacillales; Enterococcaceae. The record is from RNAcentral.